ACAUGAUUAUGGGGCCCACAUGGACAUCAGGAGCUCUGGUCUGUCUGUGUGAUUUUGAAAAAUAUUUUCUAAAUCCAAAGAGCUCAAAAGGGUUUUUCCAGAUUCAGUUCAAAUUCAUAUAUUUA
This is a non-coding RNA of Lonchura striata (white-rumped munia), 125 nucleotides long. Lineage: Eukaryota; Metazoa; Chordata; Aves; Passeriformes; Estrildidae. The record is from RefSeq and is a predicted model, not a curated record.